CAACUAUAAUAAAUGCCAUUAAAACAUCCCCAAUCCCUUUAUACGAUCAUUCCUUUAAUACUCCAAAAAAACUCUCAUUCUUUCUGCGCCGCCUCAAUCAAAACCUACAUUCCCGUUUUGAGUUCAUUCAUUUCAUCAUCGCCACUGCUUCGCUUCGUUCCAUCAUUGAGGUCUUUCAAUUUUGAUGUUGCUGACUAUCUUCAGGAAUCCCUGAGGGAAGUUGGCGCAAUUUGAAGCUCGAUUUGAAGAAGCUCUUCAACUCCUUUAAUAUGUCGACUUCACUUAACAUGUAGCGUUUAUUUUCUUCUUGCUUGUUCAGACAUAUUUCAUGAGCACAAUUAAGAUGAGCCUGAAGCUCAACCCGAGGGCCAAACUGCAACACAGACUCUUCGCUCAGAGAUAUUGCAGGACACAAUGUUAGUGAUAAUGUCAAGCAUCUGACACCUAGCUGACACAAUCGAGUAAAGCAAGUACACCAUUGACACCCCUGCUCUUCUGCAAGCUGUGAUGGAAAUCGAAGGUCUGAAAGAAUCAAAGCGAAUGUACGCCUUCGAGUUUUUGAAUGAGGACCCUACAAAAGCAAGAGCCUUCAUGGCAUACAAUAGAAGACUCAGAAGGAUAUAUUUGUUUCGACUGUUUGGUUGGUGGAGAUAAUAUUUUGAUUAUCUGUUCUACUGCUUCUUGGUCCUCUCUUUUUGAUGGAUAAUCAGUACAUCGUAGAGGAUUAGUGCAAAAGUACAUCUUUUAAUAUGUUUUCUUAGCAA
Solanum tuberosum (potato) is the source of this 764-nucleotide long non-coding RNA. RefSeq lists it as uncharacterized. The transcript has 2 exons. Lineage: Eukaryota; Viridiplantae; Streptophyta; Magnoliopsida; Solanales; Solanaceae. The record is from RefSeq and is a predicted model, not a curated record.